UGGGCUGGUCGAAAGACUCGGGUCCACCCGUCGGCGGGGACUUUCCCC
Molecule: non-coding RNA, 48 nt
Filed under: unclassified sequences
Description: DUF3800-XI RNA
Rfam family: DUF3800-XI RNA
About the family: Actinobacteria, Firmicutes, Proteobacteria, Spirochaetes (1 example). Nearby to DUF3800
Source: Rfam by way of RNAcentral